CCUACGGGAGGCAGCAGUGGGGAAUAUUGGACAAUGGGCGAAAGCCUGAUCCAGCCAUGCCGCGUGUGUGAAGAAGGCCUUCGGGUUGUAAAGCACUUUCAGUGGGGAAGAAAGCCUUGGGGCUAAUACCCUCGAGGAAGGACAUCACCCACAGAAGAAGCACCGGCUAACUCCGUGCCAGCAGCCGCGGUAAUACGGAGGGUGCGAGCGUUAAUCGGAAUUACUGGGCGUAAAGCGCGCGUAGGCGGUCUGAUAAGCCGGUUGUGAAAGCCCCGGGCUCAACCUGGGAACGGCAUCCGGAACUGGCAGGCUAGAGUGCAGGAGAGGAAGGUAGAAUUCCCGGUGUAGCAGUGAAAUGCGUAGAGAUCGGGAGGAAUACCAGUGGCGAAGGCGGCCUUCUGGACUGACACUGACGCUGAGGUGCGAAAGCGUGGGUAGCAAACAGGAUUAGAUACCCGUGUAGUC
Molecule: ribosomal RNA, 465 nt
Filed under: Vreelandella stevensii
Lineage: Bacteria; Pseudomonadati; Pseudomonadota; Gammaproteobacteria; Oceanospirillales; Halomonadaceae
Description: partial 16S ribosomal RNA
Rfam family: Bacterial small subunit ribosomal RNA
Source: RNAcentral